ACAGUUUUUAAUGGGCUUGCAAUAUCAUAUAUGUAUCAUAUGUGACCCUCUCUUACCACGUUCAAUUUGCUAUGUGCUCUAAUACAGCACGCCGAGCAUAAAAAGCACACCUUGCGAUGUCUACCCAAAGCUAUUGCCUACCAGAUAGAAUGGAAGGAACAGGUCAGAUCCUGGGUCACAGAGGUGGUGUACCUUACCGAGUGGGAGGCACAAUGGUGAUUUAUGAAGUUCAGACGACACGGGCAGUGCUAUGGGCAUAGCUUCCACCUCAGGCCUGAACAAGGAAAUGUAACUCAGCGUUGCUUCAUUUUGUUACGAAGACCUCUUUUCCACUGGAAGAAAAGCUCUCUUUACCCGGCACAUUUCAUCUCAUGGAAUAUACUCACACAAAGGAGAUGCUUUAUGAAGACACCCAGUUUAAUAAUAUACAAUGUAGGUCACGUUGCUUGAAGAGGAGCCUUGAAUCUGCCCCUGAACUACUUGUGUGUUCCCCGUGGUCAUGAGCUAAGCCACUGGCUUCAACAAGCUUUCUCUGCCAUGAAGUGUUCCCUCACCACAGGCCCCACGGCAACACACAACGGCCCAAGACUUCUAAAGCCGCCAAUCAAAAUAAACUUUCGCUGACUCACAGAGAGCCGUGGUGAAUCCUACGACACAGAGAUUCACAGAGAGCGGUUACUGAAGCCUACAGGCAGCGUCUCAGGAGUCAUUCAUUCACUCUCUCUUGCAGUACGCCUAUCCGAUUCUUGCCCCAGGAAAACUGUCCUUUCUCUCCUGCAGCAGGGCAUCCAGAUGGCUACUCGGAUACCUCAGAUUAUGAAAAAGUCUACUCUGGCUUGAGCUUGAUUCUCCCAAAUUCAGAUAUCGCAAACUUAAUCUACAACUCCACCAAUUUGGGAUGUGGGGACUUAGCGGGCAGUAUUUAGGUCAUGGUGGAUUAAUGUGAUAAAAGGCUCUCCAACUCUCGCCUGUCAUGCUUAACGCACGUUCGUGUAGAACCUGGCGCUAAACCAUUCGUAGACGACCUGCUUCUGGGUUGGGGUUUCGUACAUAGCAGAGCAGCUCCCUUGCUGCGAUCUAUUGAAAGUCAGCCCUCGACACAAGGG
This 1106-nucleotide small RNA is filed under the name Rattus norvegicus (Norway rat). RNAcentral's name for it is "uncharacterized LOC102547400". The record is from RNAcentral. Lineage: Eukaryota; Metazoa; Chordata; Mammalia; Rodentia; Muridae.